GUUCUUCGGAACUAGAGACCGGCGCACGGGUGCGUAACGCGUAUGCAAUCUACCUUUUACAGAGGGAUAGCCCAGAGAAAUUUGGAUUAAUACCUCAUAGUAUAUAGCCCUGGCAUCAGGAUUAUAUUAAAGUCACAACGGUAAAAGAUGAGCAUGCGUCCCAUUAGCUAGUUGGUAAGGUAACGGCUUGCCAAGGCUACGAUGGGUAGGGGUCCCGAGAGGGAGAUCCCCCACACUGGUACUGAGACACGGACCAGACUCCUACGGGAGGCAGCAGUGAGGAAUAUUGGACAAUGGGCGCAAGCCUGAUCCAGCCAUGCCGCGUGCAGGAUGACGGUCCUAUGGAUUGUAAACUGCUUUAUACGAGAAGAAACACUCCUUCGUGAAGGAGCUUGACGGUAUCGUAAGAAUAAGGAUCGGCUAACUCCGUGCCAGCAGCCGCGGUAAUACGGAGGAUCCAAGCGUUAUCCGGAAUCAUUGGGUUUAAAGGGUCCGUAGGCGGUUUAAUAAGUCAGUGGUGAAAGCCCAUCGCUCAACGGUGGAACGGCCAUUGAUACUGUUAGACUUGAAUUAUUAGGAAGUAACUAGAAUAUGUAGUGUAGCGGUGAAAUGCUUAGAGAUUACAUGGAAUACCAAUUGCGAAGGCAGGUUACUACUAAUUGAUUGACGCUGAUGGACGAAAGCGUGGGUAGCGAACAGGAUUAGAUACCCUGGUAGUCCACCCCGUAAACGAUGGAUACUAGCUGUUGGAAGCAAUUUCA
RNAcentral lists this ribosomal RNA (761 nucleotides) under uncultured bacterium. RNAcentral's name for it is "bacterial SSU rRNA". It matches the Rfam family "Bacterial small subunit ribosomal RNA", at positions 75 to 842 of the family's 1533-position model. The record is from RNAcentral.